AGCGAACGCUGGCGGCAGGCCUAACACAUGCAAGUCGAACGAACUCUUCGGAGUUAGUGGCGGACGGGUGAGUAACACGUGGGAACGUGCCUUUAGGUUCGGAAUAACUCAGGGAAACUUGUGCUAAUACCGAAUGUGCCCUUCGGGGGAAAGAUUUAUCACCUUUAGAGCGGCCCGCGUCUGAUUAGCUAGUUGGUGAGGUAAAGGCUCACCAAGGCGACGAUCAGUAGCUGGUCUGAGAGGAUGAUCAGCCACAUUGGGACUGAGACACGGCCCAAACUCCUACGGGAGGCAGCAGUGGGGAAUCUUGCGCAAUGGGCGAAAGCCUGACGCAGCCAUGCCGCGUGAAUGAUGAAGGUCUUAGGAUUGUAAAAUUCUUUCACCGGGGACGAUAAUGACGGUACCCGGAGAAGAAGCCCCGGCUAACUUCGUG
Molecule: ribosomal RNA, 433 nt
Filed under: uncultured bacterium
Lineage: Bacteria
Description: partial 16S ribosomal RNA
Rfam family: Bacterial small subunit ribosomal RNA
Source: RNAcentral